UGGGGAAUAUUGGACAAUGGGCGAAAGCCUGAUCCAGCCAUGCCGCGUGUGUGAAGAAGGUCUUCGGAUUGUAAAGCACUUUAAGUUGGGAGGAAGGGCAGUAAGCGAAUACCUUGCUGUUUUGACGUUACCGACAGAAUAAGCACCGGCUAACUCUGUGCCAGCAGCCGCGGUAAUACAGAGGGUGCAAGCGUUAAUCGGAAUUACUGGGCGUAAAGCGCGCGUAGGUGGUUCGUUAAGUUGAAUGUGAAAGCCCCGGGCUCAACCUGGGAACUGCAUCCAAAACUGGCGAGCUAGAGUAGGGCAGAGGGUGGUGGAAUUUCCUGUGUAGCGGUGAAAUGCGUAGAUAUAGGAAGGAACAACAGUGGCGAAGGCGACCACCUGGGCUCAUACUGACUCUGAGGUGCGAAAGCGUGGGGAGCAAACAGG
Molecule: ribosomal RNA, 429 nt
Filed under: Pseudomonadota bacterium
Lineage: Bacteria; Pseudomonadati; Pseudomonadota
Description: Proteobacteria bacterium partial 16S ribosomal RNA
Rfam family: Bacterial small subunit ribosomal RNA
Source: RNAcentral